This 1529-nucleotide ribosomal RNA is filed under the name Bacteroides fragilis. Its description in RNAcentral is "bacterial SSU rRNA". It matches the Rfam family "Bacterial small subunit ribosomal RNA". The record is from RNAcentral. Lineage: Bacteria; Pseudomonadati; Bacteroidota; Bacteroidia; Bacteroidales; Bacteroidaceae.
ACAAUGAAGAGUUUGAUCCUGGCUCAGGAUGAACGCUAGCUACAGGCUUAACACAUGCAAGUCGAGGGGCAUCAGGAAGAAAGCUUGCUUUCUUUGCUGGCGACCGGCGCACGGGUGAGUAACACGUAUCCAACCUGCCCUUUACUCGGGGAUAGCCUUUCGAAAGAAAGAUUAAUACCCGAUAGCAUAAUGAUUCCGCAUGGUUUCAUUAUUAAAGGAUUCCGGUAGAGGAUGGGGAUGCGUUCCAUUAGGUUGUUGGUGAGGUAACGGCUCACCAAGCCUUCGAUGGAUAGGGGUUCUGAGAGGAAGGUCCCCCACAUUGGAACUGAGACACGGUCCAAACUCCUACGGGAGGCAGCAGUGAGGAAUAUUGGUCAAUGGGCGCUAGCCUGAACCAGCCAAGUAGCGUGAAGGAUGAAGGCUCUAUGGGUCGUAAACUUCUUUUAUAUAAGAAUAAAGUGCAGUAUGUAUACUGUUUUGUAUGUAUUAUAUGAAUAAGGAUCGGCUAACUCCGUGCCAGCAGCCGCGGUAAUACGGAGGAUCCGAGCGUUAUCCGGAUUUAUUGGGUUUAAAGGGAGCGUAGGUGGACUGGUAAGUCAGUUGUGAAAGUUUGCGGCUCAACCGUAAAAUUGCAGUUGAUACUGUCAGUCUUGAGUACAGUAGAGGUGGGCGGAAUUCGUGGUGUAGCGGUGAAAUGCUUAGAUAUCACGAAGAACUCCGAUUGCGAAGGCAGCUCACUGGACUGCAACUGACACUGAUGCUCGAAAGUGUGGGUAUCAAACAGGAUUAGAUACCCUGGUAGUCCACACAGUAAACGAUGAAUACUCGCUGUUUGCGAUAUACAGUAAGCGGCCAAGCGAAAGCAUUAAGUAUUCCACCUGGGGAGUACGCCGGCAACGGUGAAACUCAAAGGAAUUGACGGGGGCCCGCACAAGCGGAGGAACAUGUGGUUUAAUUCGAUGAUACGCGAGGAACCUUACCCGGGCUUAAAUUGCAGUGGAAUGAUGUGGAAACAUGUCAGUGAGCAAUCACCGCUGUGAAGGUGCUGCAUGGUUGUCGUCAGCUCGUGCCGUGAGGUGUCGGCUUAAGUGCCAUAACGAGCGCAACCCUUAUCUUUAGUUACUAACAGGUUAUGCUGAGGACUCUAGAGAGACUGCCGUCGUAAGAUGUGAGGAAGGUGGGGAUGACGUCAAAUCAGCACGGCCCUUACGUCCGGGGCUACACACGUGUUACAAUGGGGGGUACAGAAGGCAGCUAGCGGGUGACCGUAUGCUAAUCCCAAAAGCCUCUCUCAGUUCGGAUCGAAGUCUGCAACCCGACUUCGUGAAGCUGGAUUCGCUAGUAAUCGCGCAUCAGCCACGGCGCGGUGAAUACGUUCCCGGGCCUUGUACACACCGCCCGUCAAGCCAUGGGAGCCGGGGGUACCUGAAGUACGUAACCGCAAGGAUCGUCCUAGGGUAAAACUGGUGACUGGGGCUAAGUCGUAACAAGGUAGCCGUACCGGAAGGUGCGGCUGGAACACCUCCUUU